Molecule: ribosomal RNA, 501 nt
Filed under: uncultured Bacteroidota bacterium
Lineage: Bacteria; Pseudomonadati; Bacteroidota
Description: bacterial SSU rRNA
Rfam family: Bacterial small subunit ribosomal RNA
Source: RNAcentral
UAGCAAUAUUAAUAAGGCUAGACCGGCGCACGGGUGCGUAACACGUAUGCAACCUACCUCAUACUGGGGAAUAACUUCGAGAAAUCGGCGCUAAUACCCCAUAACAUUGCGAAAUGGCAUCAUUUUGCAAUUAAAGCUCCGGCGGUAUAAGAUGGGCAUGCGUCCAAUUAGCUAGUUGGUGAGGUAACUGCUCACCAAGGCUACGAUUGGUAGGGGUUCUGAGAGGAUGAUCCCCCACACUGGUACUGAGACACGGACCAGACUCCUACGAGAGGCAGCAGUGAGGAAUAUUGCGCAAUGGACGAAAGUCUGACGCAGCCAUGCCGCGUGCAGGAUGACGGCCCUAUGGGUUGUAAACUGCUUUUGUAUGGGAAUAAACCCUUCUACGUGUAGAAGGCUGAAGGUACCAUAAGAAUAAGCACCGGCUAACUCCGUGCCAGCAGCCGCGGUAAUACGGAGGGUGCAAGCGUUAUCCGGAUUUAUUGGGUUUAAAGGGUCCGU